UACGAAGGUGGCAAGCGUUGUUCGGAUUUACUGGGCGUAAAGAGCUCGUAGGCGGCUUGCCGCGUCGACUGUGAAAACCCGCGGCUCAACCGCGGGCUUGCAGUCGAUACGGGCAGGCUAGAGUUUGGUAGGGGAGACUGGAAUUCCUGGUGUAGCGGUGAAAUGCGCAGAUAUCAGGAGGAACACCGGUGGCGAAGGCGGGUCUCUGGGCAGUAACUGACGCUGAGGAGCGAAAGCGUGGGGAGCGAACAGG
Molecule: ribosomal RNA, 253 nt
Filed under: uncultured bacterium
Lineage: Bacteria
Description: partial 16S ribosomal RNA
Rfam family: Bacterial small subunit ribosomal RNA
Source: RNAcentral